RNAcentral lists this ribosomal RNA (602 nucleotides) under Laccobius sp. 2 MTM-2009. Its description in RNAcentral is "eukaryotic LSU rRNA". It matches the Rfam family "Eukaryotic large subunit ribosomal RNA", at positions 663 to 1225 of the family's 3401-position model. Lineage: Eukaryota; Metazoa; Arthropoda; Insecta; Coleoptera; Hydrophilidae. The record is from RNAcentral.
GGACCAAGGAGUCUAGCAUGUGCGCGAGUCAUUGGGACUAUCUAAACCUAAAGGCGCAAUGAAAGUGAAGGCUCGCCUUGCGCGAGCCGAGGGAGGAUGGGUUGAGAUACUUUUCAGCCCCGCACUCCCGGGGCGUCUCGUUCUCUUCGAGAAGAGGCGCACCCAGAGCGUACACGCUGGGACCCGAAAGAUGGUGAACUAUGCCUGGUCAGGACGAAGUCAGGGGAAACCCUGAUGGAGGUCCGUAGCGAUUCUGACGUGCAAAUCGAUCGUCGGAACUGGGUAUAGGGGCGAAAGACUAAUCGAACCAUCUAGUAGCUGGUUCCCUCCGAAGUUUCCCUCAGGAUAGCUGGCGCUCGCUUUGCGAGUCUCAUCCGGUAAAGCGAAUGAUUAGAGGCAUUGGGGUCGAAACGGCCUCAACCUAUUCUCAAACUUUAAAUGGGUGAGAUCUCCGGCUUGCUCGAACUUGAAGCCGCGAGAUUUUACACGGAUCAGAGUGCCAAGUGGGCCACUUUUGGUAAGCAGAACUGGCGCUGUGGGAUGAACCAAACGCCGAGUUAAAGCGCCUAAAUCGACGCUUAUGGGAUACCAUGAAAGGCGUU